This 447-nucleotide ribosomal RNA is filed under the name uncultured bacterium. RNAcentral describes it as "bacterial SSU rRNA". It matches the Rfam family "Bacterial small subunit ribosomal RNA", at positions 948 to 1392 of the family's 1533-position model. The record is from RNAcentral.
AACGCGAAGAACCUUACCGACUCUUGACACCAGCGUUUGACAUGGCAGGACGGCUUCCAGAGAUGGAUUCCUUCCCUUCGGGGACCUGCACACAGGUGCUGCAUGGCUGUCGUCAGCUCGUGUCGUGAGAUGUUGGGUUAAGUCCCGCAACGAGCGCAACCCUCGUCCUUAGUUGCCAGCAUUCAGUUGGGUACUCUAAGGAAACCGCCGGUGAUAAGCCGGAGGAAGGUGGGGAUGACGUCAAGUCCUCAUGGCCCUUACGCGCUGGGCUACACACGUGCUACAAUGGCGGUGACAAUGGGCUGCAAUCCCGCGAGGGUGAGCUAAUCUCCAAAAGCCGUCUCAGUUCGGAUUGUUCUCUGCAACUCGAGAGCAUGAAGGUGGAAUCGCUAGUAAUCGCGAAUCAGAAUGUCGCGGUGAAUACGUUCCCGGGUCUUGUACACACCG